GACGAACGCUGGCGGCGUGCCUAAUACAUGCAAGUCGAACGAACCGCGACUAGGUGCUUGCACUUGGUCAAGGUGAGUGGCGAACGGGUGAGUACACGUGGGUAACCUACCUCAUAGUGGGGGAUAACAGUCGGAAACGACUGCUAAUACCGCAUAGGACAUAGGAUCACAUGAUCCAGUGAGGAAAGGUGGCGCAAGCUAUCGCUAAGAGAUGGACCCGCGGUGCAUUAGCUAGUUGGUAGGGUAAAGGCCUACCAAGGCGAUGAUGCAUAGCCGACCUGAGAGGGUGAUCGGCCACAUUGGGACUGCUACACGGCCCAAACUCCUACGGGAGGCAGCAGUAGGGAAUCUUCCGCAAUGGACGCAAGUCUGACGGAGCAACGCCGCGUGAGUGAAGAAGGUCUUCGGAUCGUAAAGCUCUGUUGUUAGAGAAGAACAGCGCAUAGAGUAC
RNAcentral lists this ribosomal RNA (451 nucleotides) under Abiotrophia defectiva. RNAcentral describes it as "bacterial SSU rRNA". It matches the Rfam family "Bacterial small subunit ribosomal RNA", at positions 28 to 464 of the family's 1533-position model. The record is from RNAcentral. Lineage: Bacteria; Bacillati; Bacillota; Bacilli; Lactobacillales; Aerococcaceae.